GGCCAGGGGUUACGGGCGGGGCAUCAGCGUUGACAGGCAGGCGUCCGGUCCCGCCCCUCUCGUCCUGAGCGGCCGCGCCAGCGCGGGAGACAGCAGAAGUGAGUACGUGAGCGGCGCUGCGAGAUCUUCGCUCGGAACCCGGACGGCGUGCGCACCCGAAGCCCGGGAAUCCGAGUCCGGCCCGCGGCGGACCGCCGGAUUACUGUACACCCGAACUACGACCAUUUGAGCCCUCCCGCCCCGGCUCGCCUCCCCGAGUCCUCCGGCUGCAAGCUCUCCAGCGCCAGGAUCCUCCUGGACCGGUCCGUCCUGAUUCCCUAGGGACCAGCCUUUCCGCAUCCGCAGCACCGCUGGGCUCGGGGCGCUCGCUCGGACCCGGAGCCUCCCGCUGAGGAUACACCGCCUUCGGCCCGGAUCUCCCGGGAUCGUGCGCGCCUGUCUCGGAGUCCCUGGAGCGGACCUUCUCCGGUGUCCGCAGCCCGCCGGCGCGACCCGGCGCGGCCCGGCUCGGCUCCCGCAGUCGCCCGCCAUGGCCCGAGCCCGCCCGCCGGGGCGCCUGCAGCUGUUCCCGCCGCUGCUCCUGCUGAUGCUGCCCGCCGGCUGCCCGGCGCUGGAAGAGACCCUCAUGGACACAAAAUGGGUGACAUCUGAGUUGGCAUGGACAUCUCAUCCAGAAAGUGGGUGGGAAGAGGUGAGUGGCUAUGAUGAGGCCAUGAACCCGAUCCGCACGUACCAGGUGUGUAACGUGCAUGAGUCAAGCCAGAACAACUGGCUUCGCACAGGGUUCAUCUGGCGGCGGGACGUGCAGCGGGUCUAUGUGGAGCUCAAGUUCACCGUGCGUGAUUGCAACAGCAUCCCCAAUAUCCCUGGCUCCUGCAAGGAGACUUUCAAUCUCUUCUACUACGAGGCUGACAGCGAUGUGGCCUCGGCCUCUUCCCCCUUCUGGAUGGAGAACCCUUAUGUAAAAGUGGACACCAUCGCGCCUGAUGAGAGUUUCUCACGGCUUGAUGAUGGCCGUGUCAACACCAAGGUGCGCAGCUUUGGACCACUCUCCAAGGCCGGCUUCUACUUGGCCUUCCAGGACCAGGGUGCCUGCAUGUCACUCAUCUCUGUGCGUGCCUUCUACAAGAAGUGUGCGUCCACCACCGCAGGCUUCGCACUCUUCCCUGAGACCCUCACUGGGGCUGAGCCCACCUCUCUGGUCAUUGCCCCUGGCACCUGCAUCGCUAACGCUGUGGAGGUCUCGGUGCCACUCAAACUCUACUGCAAUGGCGAUGGGGAGUGGAUGGUGCCUGUGGGUGCCUGCACCUGUGCUACUGGCCACGAGCCAGCUGCCAAGGAGUCCCAGUGCCGGCCCUGUCCUCCUGGGAGUUACAAGGCAAAGCAGGGAGAGGGACCCUGCCUCCCCUGCCCCCCCAACAGCCGUACCACCUCACCAGCUGCCAGCAUUUGCAUCUGCCACAGUAACUUCUACCGUGCAGACUCGGACCCCGCGGAUAGUGCCUGUACCACGGUGCCAUCUCCACCCCGAGGUGUGAUCUCCAAUGUGAAUGAGACCUCACUGAUCCUCGAGUGGAGUGAGCCCCGAGACCUGGGGGGCCGGGACGACCUCCUAUACAACGUCAUCUGCAAGAAGUGCCAUGGGGGCCCUGGGUCCGGGGUCACCUCGGCCUGUUCACGCUGUGAUGACAAUGUAGAGUUUGUGCCUCGACAGUUGGGCCUGACAGAGCGCCAGGUCCACAUCAGCCAUCUGCUGGCCCAUACGCGCUAUACCUUUGAGGUGCAAGCAGUCAAUGGUGUCUCGGGCAAGAGCCCUCUGCCCCCCCGCUAUGCAGCUGUGAAUAUCACCACUAACCAGGCUGCCCCAUCCGAAGUGCCUACACUGCACCUACACAGCAGCUCAGGCAGCAGCCUGACCCUGUCCUGGGCGCCCCCAGAGAGGCCCAAUGGAGUCAUCCUGGACUAUGAGAUGAAGUACUUUGAGAAGAGUGAGGGCAUCGCCUCCACGGUGACCAGCCAGAAGAACUCUGUGCAGCUGGAUGGGCUGCGACCCGACGCCCGCUACGUGGUCCAGGUCCGUGCCCGCACGGUAGCUGGCUAUGGGCAGUACAGCCACCCGGCCGAGUUUGAGACCACAAGUGAGAGAGGCUCUGGUGCCCAGCAGCUCCAGGAGCAGCUUCCCCUCAUCGUGGGUUCUGCCACGGCCGGGCUUGUCUUCGUGGUGGCUGUUGUGGUCAUUGCCGUCGUCUGCCUCAGGAAGCAGCGUCACAGCUCUGACUCGGAGUACACAGAGAAGCUGCAGCAGUACAUCGCUCCUGGAAUGAAGGUUUAUAUCGACCCUUUCACCUAUGAGGACCCUAAUGAGGCUGUGCGGGAGUUUGCCAAGGAGAUCGAUGUGUCGUGCGUCAAGAUCGAGGAGGUGAUUGGAGCUGGGGAGUUUGGGGAAGUGUGCCGGGGUAGACUGAAACAGCCUGGACGCCGGGAGGUGUUUGUGGCCAUCAAGACCCUGAAGGUGGGCUACACUGAGAGGCAGCGGCGGGACUUCCUAAGUGAAGCCUCCAUCAUGGGUCAGUUUGAUCACCCCAACAUAAUCCGGCUGGAGGGCGUGGUCACCAAAAGUCGCCCAGUCAUGAUCCUCACUGAGUUCAUGGAGAACUGUGCCCUGGACUCCUUCCUCCGGCUCAACGAUGGACAGUUUACAGUCAUCCAGCUGGUGGGCAUGUUGCGGGGCAUUGCUGCUGGCAUGAAAUACUUGUCUGAGAUGAACUAUGUGCACCGUGACCUGGCUGCCCGCAAUAUCCUUGUCAACAGCAACCUGGUCUGCAAAGUCUCGGACUUCGGUCUCUCCCGCUUCUUGGAGGACGAUCCCUCUGAUCCUACCUACACCAGCUCCCUGGGCGGGAAGAUACCCAUCCGCUGGACCGCCCCAGAAGCCAUAGCCUAUCGGAAGUUCACCUCUGCUAGUGAUGUCUGGAGCUAUGGAAUCGUCAUGUGGGAGGUCAUGAGCUAUGGAGAGCGACCCUACUGGGAUAUGAGCAACCAGGAUGUCAUCAAUGCUGUGGAGCAGGAUUACCGGCUGCCUCCACCCAUGGACUGCCCCACAGCACUGCACCAGCUCAUGCUGGACUGCUGGGUGCGGGACCGGAACCUCAGGCCCAAAUUCUCCCAGAUUGUCAACACCCUAGACAAGCUUAUCCGCAAUGCUGCCAGCCUCAAGGUCAUCGCCAGUACCCAGUCUGGCAUGUCUCAGCCCCUCCUGGACCGCACGGUCCCAGAUUACACGACCUUCACAACAGUUGGUGACUGGCUAGAUGCUAUCAAGAUGGGGCGGUACAAAGAGAGCUUUAUCAGUGCAGGGUUUGCAUCCUUUGACCUGGUGGCCCAGAUGACUGCAGAAGACCUACUCCGGAUUGGGGUCACCUUGGCUGGCCACCAGAAGAAGAUCCUCAGCAGUAUACAGGACAUGCGGCUGCAAAUGAACCAGACGCUGCCCGUGCAGGUCUGACCCCCAAUUCCUACUGAGUGGGUACCCCCCAAGGACUGUGCAGGGUCUCUGACCAGCCGGCUGGACUUGUGGACUUUUGGAUGCCUGGCCUUAGGCUGUGGCCCAGAAGAUGGAGGUUUGGGGAGGGCCCAAGCUGGGACUUCUCCUUCAGGCCUGUGCUCCCUCCCCAGGAAGUGUGCCCCAAACCUCUUCAUAUUGAAGAUGGAUUAGGAGAGGGGGUGAUGACCCCUCCCCAAGCCCCUCAGGGCCCAGGCCUUCCUGCUGUCCAGUGGGAGAUCCCCACCACCUCAGACUUGGCUGUGCUUCAGUGCCAGAGGUCCUGGCAGGGUCAGUUUGGGGAUGAGCCUGGGUUCCAUAGGGCCCAGCCCUGGAAGGGGUCCGGCCCCCCAGGUAGGCAGAGAGCAGUCCCUCCCUCAGGAACUGGAGGACAGGACUCUGGGAAUGGGGAAAUGUGACACCCCAUCCCGAAGCCAGCUGGCACCUUCAGUUUGCACAGGGACUUGUUCUGGGGGCUGAGGGCCCUGCCCCACCCCCGCCCUUGGUGCUGUCAUAAAAGGGCAGGUAGGGGCAGGUUGAGGGGCAGCCCCUUGCCCCCAGAGACUGACUCUCCGAGCCAGAGAUUGGAUAUGUGUGUGUAUGUAUGUGUGUGUGUGUGUGUGUGUGUGUGUGUGUAUGUGUGCACGCACUGGCCUGCACAGAGAGCAUGGGUGAGUGUGUAAAAGCUUGGCCCUGUGCCCUGCAGUGGGGCCAGCUGGGCCAUCAGCGGAAUAAAGGCAAUAAGAUGA
Non-coding RNA from Manis javanica (Malayan pangolin), 4290 nucleotides. The record is from RefSeq and is a predicted model, not a curated record. Lineage: Eukaryota; Metazoa; Chordata; Mammalia; Pholidota; Manidae.